This 465-nucleotide ribosomal RNA is filed under the name uncultured bacterium. Its description in RNAcentral is "partial 16S ribosomal RNA". It matches the Rfam family "Bacterial small subunit ribosomal RNA", at positions 338 to 795 of the family's 1533-position model. The record is from RNAcentral.
CCUACGGGUGGCAGCAGUGGGGAAUAUUGCGCAAUGGGCGAAAGCCUGACGCAGCGACGCCGCGUGAGGGAUGAAGGUUCUCGGAUCGUAAACCUCUGUCAGAAGGGAAGCAAUUAUAUCAUGCUAAUCAUUGGUGUAUUGACGGUUCCUUCAAAGGAAGCACCGGCCAACUCCGUGCCAGCCGCUGCAGUAAGACGGAGGGUGCGGGCGGUACUCGGCAUUACUUGUCGUAAAGCGGACGUAGGCUGUAUGACAAGUCAAGGGUGAAAUGCCACGGCUCAACCGUGGAACUGCCUUUGAAACUGUCAAACUGGAGUAUGUGAGAGGGCGGCGGAAUUCCUGGUGUAGGAGUGAAAUCCGUAGAUAUCAGGAGGAACAUCAGUGGCGAAGGCGGCCGCCUGGCACAAAACUGACGCUGAGGUGCGAAAGCGUGGGUAGCAAACAGGAUUAGAUACCCCAGUAGUC